CACCGCCCGUCACAUCACGAAAGUGGAUUGUACUAGAAGUCUGCACGCCAACCCGCAAGGGGGGUAGCGGCCCAAGGUAUGAUUCAUGAUUGGGGUG
This 97-nucleotide ribosomal RNA is filed under the name uncultured bacterium. Its description in RNAcentral is "partial 16S ribosomal RNA". It matches the Rfam family "Bacterial small subunit ribosomal RNA", at positions 1388 to 1482 of the family's 1533-position model. The record is from RNAcentral.